GAUCCUGCUCAGGAUGAACGCUGGCGGCGUGCUUAACACAUGCAAGUCGAGCGAAGCACUUAAGUUCGAUUCUUCGGAUGAAGACUUUUGUGACUGAGCGGCGGACGGGUGAAGUAACGCGUGGGUAACCUGCCUCAUACAGGGGGAUAACAGUUAGAAAUGGCUGCUAAUACCGCAUAAGACCACAGUACUGCAUGGUACGGUGGCAAAAACUCCGGUGGUAUGAGAUGGACCCGCG
Molecule: ribosomal RNA, 238 nt
Filed under: uncultured bacterium
Lineage: Bacteria
Description: partial 16S ribosomal RNA
Rfam family: Bacterial small subunit ribosomal RNA
Source: RNAcentral